This 1034-nucleotide long non-coding RNA is filed under the name Apteryx owenii (little spotted kiwi). Its description in RNAcentral is "lncRNA (ENSAOWG00000019075.1)". Lineage: Eukaryota; Metazoa; Chordata; Aves; Apterygiformes; Apterygidae. The record is from RNAcentral.
GGACUUGUAAGGGUUUUCUUUGUUGUUGCUGUUGUUUUUGUCUCAGUAUGAAGUGCUUUUUUACUGUUGUUCUUUGCUUUGUGCUAGUGUCUAAAAUUCAAGCUUCUUUAGCACCUUACAGAGGGCACUGUCUCUGCAUAGACAAAGGCUAUAAUGUUGUUCCUACAAGAAUGUUAGAAAAAAUUGAAGUGUUUCCUGAGAGCUCUUCUUGUGAACAUCUUGAGAUCAUUGCUACGUUGAAGCCUUCAAAAGAGCGAAGAUGCCUGAACCCUGAAGCUAAGCAUGUCAGGAUGAUGAUGAAGCACUUAUUGAAAAAACAUUCUGCAGGAAAACUUCGUGUGUGAGUGACCAGCGAAGACCUGCUCUGACUGCUGUUAUGGGGCUCUGCAGCCCUUAAGUAUGUCCUUUCCCCAUGGGCUCUGUACAGCUCUCUGAAGACAAGCUGCAGCUGAGGCUUUUCCAUAUCUCUUCAGUUCCAAGACUCAAGCACCUGCAACAUCACUGGUGAUGAACACCUGGAGCAGCAGUGUGUCUCAGAAGGCACUGUGCAUGCAUGUGCUUCUUGUACAGAAGCCAACUGUUAUGGUUAUAGUAAGACCAGAUCCAGCCUCUGGGGUGUCCAAUAGCUUCAGGUUGCUAUUGGCAGGCACGUCUUGUUUCUCUGCUACCAAGUAUUUGCUUGAGCAGCUGAAGUAACUGUUUUAAUCAGUUAAGGUAGUAAGAAUGAGCCUCCUACUGAGGUCUUUGCUUACCUUUGAUAAACAAGAAUCAAAAUUAUUUUGGACCCCCUAACAGUGUGAUGUUUAAUCCCUAAAUGCAUAUUUUGUUACUUUCCAUGUGAUUGUAUAUAAUUAGACUACUGGAUAAAAGUUCAUUUAUAAUCUUUGUAAGUAAAAUCUCUACUAUAUUAAGUAACAAUGUAAAUGUUAGCUCUAUAGUGUAAAUAUACAGCUACCUACAGAAGAGAAUGUAAGAAAGUAGAAUAAGUUCUAAACCUUCUGUUACCUUCUUGUAAAGGUAAACUAAUAAAAGAC